Molecule: ribosomal RNA, 497 nt
Filed under: uncultured bacterium
Lineage: Bacteria
Description: partial 16S ribosomal RNA
Rfam family: Bacterial small subunit ribosomal RNA
Source: RNAcentral
GAUGAACGCUGGCGGCGUGCCUAAUACAUGCAAGUCGAGCGAACAGACGAGGAGCUUGCUCCUCUGACGUUAGCGGCGGACGGGUGAGUAACACGUGGAUAACCUACCUAUAAGACUGGGAUAACUUCGGGAAACCGGAGCUAAUACCGGAUAAUAUAUUAAACCGCAUGGUUCAAUAGUGAAAGACGGUUUUGCUGUCACUUAUAGAUGGAUCCGCGCCGCAUUAGCUAGUUGGUAAGGUAACGGCUUACCAAGGCAACGAUGCGUAGCCGACCUGAGAGGGUGAUCGGCCACACUGGAACUGAGACACGGUCCAGACUCCUACGGGAGGCAGCAGUAGGGAAUCUUCCGCAAUGGGCGAAAGCUUGGCGGAGCAACGCCGCGUGAGUGAUGAAGGUCUUCGGAUCGUAAAACUCUGUUAUUAGGGAAGAACAAAUGUGUAAGUAACUAUGCACGUCUUGACGGUACCUAAUCAGAAAGCCACGGCUAACUACGUG